RNAcentral lists this ribosomal RNA (492 nucleotides) under uncultured bacterium. RNAcentral describes it as "partial 16S ribosomal RNA". It matches the Rfam family "Bacterial small subunit ribosomal RNA", at positions 28 to 507 of the family's 1533-position model. The record is from RNAcentral.
GGUGAACGCUGGCGGUAGGCCUAACACAUGCAAGUCGAACGGCAGCACAGUAAGAGCUUGCUCUUACGGGUGGCGAGUGGCGGGUGGGUGAGGAAUACAUCGGAAUCUUCUUUUUCGUGGGGGAUAACGUAGGGAAACUUACGCUAAUACCGCAUACGAUCUACGGGUGAAAGCAGGGGAUCUUCGGACCUUGCGUGAUUGAAUGAGCCGAUGUCGGAUUAGCUAGUUGGCGGGGUAAAGGCCCACCAAGGCGACGAUCCGUAGCUGGUCUGAGAGGAUGAUCAGCCACACUGGAACUGAGACACGGUCCAGACUCCUACGGGAGGCAGCAGUGGGGAAUAUUGGGCAAUGGGCGCAAGCCUGAUCCAGCCAUACUGCGUGGGUGAAGAAGGCCUUCGGGUUGUAAAGCCGUUUUGUUGGGAAAGAAAAGCAGCAGGUUAAUACCCCGCUGUUCUGACGGUACCCAAAGAAUAAGCACCGGCUAACUUCGUG